GCACUGCUGAGUAGUCCCAUAAUAGGACGAAACGGCAUUCCAGUAC
This is a non-coding RNA of Schistosoma curassoni, 46 nucleotides long. NCBI's taxonomy places the organism in Eukaryota, Metazoa, Platyhelminthes, Trematoda, Strigeidida, Schistosomatidae. The record is from Rfam.